GCAGCGGGGUUGGGCUCUGGCCGGGAGUCGACUGAAGGAGCGAGGACUGGGAGCGCGCGCGCGCGCGCGCCUGUGCCCGGACUGUUUGCCGCGGCCACUCGCUCUUUCUCCUCCCGCCUCAUGCCAGCGUCUUAUUCAGCCCCCUCAGCCCUUCCGCCCGCCUCCAGUCGCCAGCCUGCAGCUCCCACAUUUGACUAUAUGCACUGUGAGAUCAGACACUCGUCACCUGGGUUCACUGCUGUAUUCCAGUGCCUACAACAGUGCCUGGCACAAAGAAGGGCUCAAAGGCCCAAGACGAAGGAAGAAUGAGUGAGUCAGUCGAUCAAUCAGCUCACCAGCCAAAAUAAAGAAACAGCAACGGGCAGGACAGACCUCUCUGUCAUUCAGGUCCCUCCUUCGGUGAAUGAUACCAUGGUGAGAAAAGCCACUUGCAGAUGAAGUGAAUCCUUGAGAGAGAAUCAGAAGUGGAGCGAUCGUGGGCCUGGCCACCUAAAGCACCAAAAUUGACAGAGACGUGGACCUCACUGUUUUGCCUCUAGCUCCGACCCUGGUGCCUGAUAUACAGUAGAUGCUCAAUAAAUGCUUGUGGAAUGAAUGGUAUGUCUUCCAUCAGAUUCCUCGGAAGCACACCUGGAGACAAGGCUUCAUGUGAAGCGGUCCCUGACUUUCCCGUAGCGCUCCCGCCAUCUGCUGGUCAGUCUCGGGAUAGCAGGAAAGCGCAGGCCUCAGAGAGAGACGUUGCCUCCUCCUGGACUGCCAGACCCGGGCCGCGCCUCCCCAUCCUCGCGUGAGCACACGCACACGCACACACAGCAGCCAAGGAGAGCUGAGACGGCUUCUCACUCCGCUUCGUUUGUCCUCUCUCAUACCCCAUAACCUGGCAUACCUCCACUCCUGACUUACCUUUCGUUAUGAGCUGCUCAGCGUCAGGGCCACAGCUGACCCAUCUCUGUCAACCCUCGUUCCCACCCGCUAACUGCCCGGCACACGGCAGGUGCUCACGGGAUGCUCCUCGCGUGGCUAAGGGAAGACACUCCCUUUGGGGGAUUUCAUUCAUGGGCUCUGAUCUUUGGAGGGCUGGAAUGGCUCUUCCUUCUGGUGUGACUUGGCAAAACAACUCGAAAGGGAAGGAAGACACAGUGACUGUCUCUGUAAGUCAGCUGCCUCCGCCCCAGAAAGGACUGUUAUCUGAGGGGAGUAAUUAAGAUGAAUCUGUCCAAGGGGAGAGCAAGCUCUGGCUCCAGCAUUCCAACCUAGAGGCUCCUCCAUCACCCCAGUUCCUAAAUCAGCCCAGAGUGGCUGGGGGAGAGGAGGCUCCCAGGCCCAGGGGCUCGGCCAGGCUCCCAGCGUCCUCCUCAGAGCCUGGACUAGGGGCCUGGGGGCCACGGCUUAAAAGGGUGCCGCGAACAGGCUCGUGCCAGAUGAGAAUUGCCCACUCUCCCUUUGGCCUGGAACUCUCGUGCGGCUCGGCACAGCGCAGGUUCUGAUCUCGUCUUCAACAUUUUGACAGUUUAUUCAUCAUGGAGUUUAUUGCAUGAGUUUUAAUUUUUAUCAAAUAUCAUAUUAAUGAAAGUUGGGACUUAAACAGUACCUGUGCACCCAGGUUCAUAACAGCAUUAUCCACACCAGCCAAAGGCUAGGAAGCGCCCCACAUGUCCAUGGAUGGAGGAGUGGAUGAACCAAAGAAGGAAGUCCAAGGGGUGCUUGGGUGACUCUGUCGGUUAAGCACCUGCAUUUGGCUCAAGUCAUGAUCCUGGAGUCCUGGGAUCCAGCCUGCUGAGCAGGGAGUCUGCUUCUCCCUCUCCAUCCUCCUGUCCCCCAGCUUGUGCGCUUGCUUGCUCUCUCUCUGUCUUUCUCUCUCAAAUAAAUAAAUACAAUCAUAAAUAAACAAACAAACAAAAGAAGGAAGUUCUGACCCCUGCUUCCAUAUGGACAAACCUGGAGAAUAUCAUGCUGAGUGAAAUAAACCAGACACGAAAAGACUAAGACUGUAUGAUUCCCUUUAUAUGAAGUACGGAGAGUAGCCGAAGUCAUAGAGACAGAAAGCAGAAUGGAGGUUGCCAGGGACUGGGGGGAGCAGGGAAUAUGGAGUAUUUAAUGGGAAAGUUUUAGUUGGGAAAGAUGAGAACGUUCUGGAGGGGAUGGUGUGAAUGUAUUUAACAACACUGAACUGAACACUUAAAAAUGGUUAAAAUGGUAAACUUUAUGGAGUAUUUUACCAUAAUAAAAAGUACUGCAUUAAGGGGCACCUGGGUGGCACA
This is a long non-coding RNA of Ailuropoda melanoleuca (giant panda), 2261 nucleotides long. RefSeq lists it as uncharacterized. The record is from RefSeq and is a predicted model, not a curated record. NCBI's taxonomy places the organism in Eukaryota, Metazoa, Chordata, Mammalia, Carnivora, Ursidae. The transcript has 5 exons.